CAACAAAGCAAUAAGCUGGUAUUCUAUCAAUUAUACAUUUAACACCUUUACAUGGAGUGAAAAUACUUUUCCAUGAUGUCAACCUCUUAUAAAAGGAUGUAAAAGGAUCUUUCUAAAGGGGGCCGUUGGAGAUCGUGACACAAAUAUGGCUUGUGUUUUUCCGAGGCCAGCCAAAGACUCCCUGGAGUUAAUUUACCCCGGCGUAGCAGCCAACCCCUGCUGUGGUGACUCACCUUCGCCACCACAGAGAUGAGGUUCAGAGAGAGACUUGGCAAAAAGAAAAAGUACUCUCCUUGAGAGAUUAACCCGUUGGGCAAAGAAAGGCAUGGGGGAGGCAGACUGAGAGCUCGGCACAGUAGGAACGCAGCUAGCAGGCUCAUUAGAGGGAACCGUCCACCGCCUGCGAGCAUCUCCACCCACGCCGAGAGAACUUUGCAAAGGUGGACCAUACAUUGUUGUCUCCUGUGGCACGGCGCUACAGAUCCUUUCAGACAGAAUGACCCAUUUUGCCGAUUUGAAAACAACUGGGGUUUUCUGAGCUGCAGCGUUGCCAUGGACCCUUGUGUUGCACGCUUCGCACGGCUAAAAAUCCAGCAGGACUUUCUCCUCCAGACGCGUCGCAGCAGCAUGAAGCUGUCGAGCUUCUGCUGCCUCUGCCGCUGACAGAUUACAGUCAUUAUUUGCACAACUGCAGGAAAGGCGCUUGUCAGGGAAACAUGUUGGUGAAACAAUCCGGCCUACAGUGUUCUGAAAGGUCCAUUACUGCAUUCACUUAAAUCCGUCCCACUACCUUGUUAUCGCACUUCAUUUUACUUCACACCCUGAAGCACUUAAGGCCUCGCUUCUUCUGUUUCUCCCCCCCGGCUAUGAAGGUCAUAUUGUCAAAGCAACAAUGACAAAGAAGGAAUUACAUCGGUGGGAAAAUUACCGAUGCUGAAUCUCACUUUGCAACUCAGCAUGCGUUGAUUCGCAUUAACUGAUUACACGUCCCCCCCGUUUGCAUCGAUUUGUCCACGAGUGCAGAUUGUGAGAGAGUGCGAGCUAUGGACACUAUGGACAGAAUGGGAGGGAGGCGCUGGUGAUGACUAGCGCCCCCACCUGCUCGCGAGGACUGAGGCCACAGCGCCGCUCGUCUCGCGCCGGGGCUCUCUGGUGAGACUCGUCUCGCUCUGCCUCCUCGGCUCUGCUGCAAAAGACGAGGGACACAUUUGCACAGAUUAGCCCGCGCGCUAAUCCUCCUGCCGUCCAGACUGGCGGGCGGCUGACCUUCCCGGGUCACGUGGCCGCCAUCUGGAUCGCCGGGAGUGAAGCGCCAACGCUGCCGGGCAAAGUGCGAGAGGCGAGAGGCUCCACGGGGCAGGUGAGCGCUACUCGGGGCGCCUCUUGUUUGGACGACUUUGUGAGUGAAUUAUGAUGACCUCGGCGGUGGAGAUGUCCGCCACACCGGCAGAGCCAGUUAAAUCCUCCUCUCUUCAUUCCACUGACAUGAGGAAUCAGUGCGGACGUCUUCGGAGACUUGAUAGCAGCGGAGUGUCGCUGGUGAUUGUCCAAACAUCGUCCGAGACGUGGGAAAAGGUCUCGCCGGUGAUGGGAUUCACGUCACCCUCUGAAGAGACUACAGAGGCUGUGAGAAAAAGAAAAGUAAGACGUGUGCUGUGUUUAUUAUUAGCAUUUGCCUCGCGCGGGUUCCACAGACCUGUUGCUGACUCGCAGCCCGGGGGAAGCGUUUUCUGUGAUUUUACACUCCGCAAGCCAAGAUAAAACAACACAUCCAUCUAAGGCCCGGGAGUCCUUUCUUCCCUCAAAGGACACCAAACCCACGAGGGAACGCCUCGAUAAUUACCACGUAUAAAUUGUGCUGGCGAGAGAACAAAAAAAAACAACAACAUAUGAAAGAGCCCGGUGUGUGUUUUAGGCCAAGCAUCAGUAAAUCACGUGGGACUCAAUGAGGAUUAAUGGGUGAUUAAUGGCGG
Gasterosteus aculeatus aculeatus (three-spined stickleback) is the source of this 1973-nucleotide long non-coding RNA. NCBI's taxonomy places the organism in Eukaryota, Metazoa, Chordata, Actinopteri, Perciformes, Gasterosteidae. The record is from Ensembl.